GCUUUAAGAAAUUUAAUUUAAAGUAUAAUCUGCCCAAUGAAAAAAAUUUAAAUGGCUGCAGAAUAAAUAACUGUACAAAGGUAGCCAUAAUAAUUUGCUUUUUAAUUAAAAGCUUGUAUGAAAGAUUAAAUAAAAUAUAAACUUAUCUCAAUUAAAAAAUAUUUUAAUUUUUUAUUUAAGUAAAAAAACUUAAAUAACUUUAAAAGACGACAAGACCCUAUAGAAUUUUAUUAUUAAAAUAAUUUUUUUUAUAAAAAAAAUUAUUUAUAAUAAUUUAAUUGGGGUAAUUUAAAAAUUAAAAAAAUUUUUUAAAAUAAAACAAUAAUAAUUGAUUAUAAUUUAUAAAAAUUUUAAUUAAAAAAUUAAUUACCUUAGGGAUAACAGCAUAAUUUUUUUUAAAAGAUCUUAUUAAUAAAAAAGAUUAU
Molecule: ribosomal RNA, 425 nt
Filed under: cf. Coelalysia sp. SY24
Lineage: Eukaryota; Metazoa; Arthropoda; Insecta; Hymenoptera; Braconidae
Description: partial 16S ribosomal RNA
Source: RNAcentral